ACGACUCAACAGACCUAACUCAAAUAUCUGUCUUCGAAAAAAAGCCCUUACACAAAAAUCUUCUUUGAUCUGUACAUCUCGCAGUAAAGGGGCUUUCCAUCGUCGUCUAGAUCUCUGUCUCCGGUCACCAUCGUCGUCUAGAUCUCUGUCUCUCCGGUCGCCAUCAUCGUCUCUGUCUCCGGUCGCCAUCGUCAUCUCUCUCCGGUGACCGUCGUCAUCUCUGUAUCCGGUCACCAUAGAAGGGACCCCUAAACCCUAAAUGAUAACACACUGCUCAGAAAGAAGUCACUAAAUCCGGAGAUUGGGUUUUUUAAUUUCGCUCUCAGUAAAAAAUAUUAGAUCAUAGGAAAAGCAAAUAAAAUUGGGGUGGGACCAAAAAAAGUAAGUGACAGGUACAUCAAUGAGUAUCAUGGUAACAUGAAACAAAUUCAGUGCCUUCCUCCUACAGAAGAGCCAGGGGUAACUGAUCAUAUAGAGCAGAUAAAAAACAUGAUCCAUUAGGUUUGUCUUCACAUUUGCCCUAGGUGCUGGACCAGUCCCUAGUCUCCUCCUAUCAGAAACAUUCCCUAACCGAAUUAGAGCAAAGGCAAUGGCAAUCUACAUGGCAAUGCACUGGGUCAAAGUUAGGAUUGCGGGUCACGGUUGACGUUACUUUUUUUGUUGCCGCUAUAUUUUUUGUUUGGCUCAUGUAGAAGUUUCAAGAACAUAUGAAGAAUUUUUAUUUUAUUUUAGUUAAGUAAAUAUAUAAGGUGUGGAUCAUGUACUUCUUUGAAAUUUGUAUAUGAUUAAUUUUUGUCUAAAACAAUGACUUGGAUUUGGUUAUAUAUAUAUAUAUGAUAUUAUUGGUCAGUUGUAAAUUA
This is a long non-coding RNA of Cornus florida, 860 nucleotides long. RefSeq lists it as uncharacterized. The transcript is spliced from 4 exons. The record is from RefSeq and is a predicted model, not a curated record. NCBI's taxonomy places the organism in Eukaryota, Viridiplantae, Streptophyta, Magnoliopsida, Cornales, Cornaceae.